UCCCUAGUGGCUCAGAUGGUGAAGAAUCUGCCUGCAAUGCAGGAGACCUGGGUUCGAUUCCUGGGUAGGGGA
This 72-nucleotide transfer RNA is filed under the name Bos taurus (domestic cattle). It matches the Rfam family "tRNA". Rfam says of the family: Transfer RNA (tRNA) molecules are approximately 80 nucleotides in length. Lineage: Eukaryota; Metazoa; Chordata; Mammalia; Artiodactyla; Bovidae. RNAcentral also lists the same sequence under 4 other names. The record is from Rfam by way of RNAcentral.